UUCUUGAGUGUAAAGUCCAGUAGGUGGAAGGACUAGGCCUGGGACUCCUGGGUCCCCGGCAGUGUCUGGAGGCAUGGCUGGGGCUGGCGGGGGCCUCAGGGUCUGGGGGAACCUGGUGCUGCUGGGCCUGUGCAGCUGGACAGGGGCCAGGGCAGCCGACCCUCCUUCCCAAUUCUCAGUCCCCAGCCUAGUGAGGAACCUGAGAGUGGAGGCUCAGACCACCAGCUCCAUCUCCCUGAGCUGGGAGGCCCCUGAUGUCCCAGACCCACAGAACUCCACCUACUGGGUUCAAUGCACUGGAGACGUUGGCAGAACAGAGACUCGAACCACAAGAGACACCAACGUCACCGUGGAUGGACUUGGACCCGGGUCAUUGUAUACGUUUUCUGUGUGGGUGGAGAAAGAUGGAGUAAAUAGCUCUGUGGAGACUGUCACGAGUGCCACAGCUCCCAACCCAGUGAGGAACCUGAGAGUGGAGGCUCAGACCAACAGCUCCAUCGCCCUGAGCUGGGAGGUCCCCGAUGGCCCAGACCCACAGAACUCCACCUACGGGGUUGAGUACACUGGAGAUGGUGGCAGACCAGAGACUCGAAGCACAGCUGACACCAACAUCACUGUGGAUGGACUUGAACCCGGGUCUUUGUAUGCGUUUUCCGUGUGGGUGGGGAAGAAUGGAAUCAACAGCUCCCGGGAGACUCAAAAUGCCACCACAGCCCCCAACCCGGUGAGGAACCUGAGAGUGGAGGCUCAGACCAACAGCUCCAUCGCCCUGAGCUGGGAGGUCCCCGAUGGCCCAGACCCACAGAACUCCACCUACUGGGUUCAGUGCGCUGGAGACGGUGGCAGAACAGAGACUCGAACCACAAGAGACACCAACGUCACCGUGGAUGGACUUGGACCCGGGUCAUUGUAUACGUUUUCUGUGUGGGUGGAGAAAGAUGGAGUAAAUAGCUCUGUGGAGACUGUCACGAGUGCCACAGCUCCCAACCCAGUGAGGAACCUGAGAGUGGAGGCUCAGACCAACAGCUCCAUCGCCCUGAGCUGGGAGGUCCCCGAUGGCCCAGACCCACAGAACUCCACCUACUGGGUUCAGUGCGCUGGAGACGGUGGCAGAACAGAGACUCGAACCACAAGAGACACCAACGUCACCGUGGAUGGACUUGGACCCGGGUCAUUCCCCAACCCAGUGAGAAACCUCCAUAUGGAGACUCAGACCAACAGCUCCAUCGCCCUGAGCUGGGAAGUCCCCAAUGGCCCAGACCUUCAGGACUACACCUACUGGGUAGAGUACACUGGAGAUGGUGGUGGAACUGAGACCCGAAACACAACAAAUACCAGUGUGACAGCUGAGGGACUUGAACCCGGAACCUUGUACACAUUCUCUGUAUGGGCAGAAAAACAUGGAGCACGCGGCUCCAGGCAGAAUGUCAGCAUCUCCACAGUGCCCAACGCAGUGACAAGCCUCAGAAAGCAGGACUGGACCAACAGCUCCAUUGCUUUGUGCUGGACAGCUCCCCAGGGCCCAGGCCAGUCUUCCUACACUUACUGGGUCUCAUGGAUCAGGGAAGGCAUGACUGACCCCAGGACCCAAAACACCUCAGGUACUGACAUCACCCUAAAGGAACUGGAAGCUGGCAGCCUGUACCACCUCACCGUCUGGGCCGAGAGGAAUGAGGUCAGAGGCUAUAACAGCACCCUCACUGCAGCCACUGCUCCCAGUGAGGUCACAGAUCUCCAGAAUGAAACUCAGACUAAGAACUCAGUCAUGCUGUGGUGGAAGGCCCCUGGAGACCCCCACUCUCAGUUGUACGUAUACCGGGUCCAGUGGGCCAGCAAGGGACGUCCCCAGAGGGGGCAAGAUCCCCAAGCGAAUUGGGUCAACCAGACUGGCAGGACCAAUGAGACAUGGUACAAGGUGGAGGCCCUGGAACCCGGGACUCUGUACAACUUCACCGUGUGGGCAGAGAGGAAUGACGUAGCCAGUUCCAUGCAGAGCCUCUGUGCAUCCACAUACCCAGACGCAGUCACCAUCACUUCCUGUGUCAGCGCCUCAGCGGGCUAUGGAGUCCACUUGACCUGGUCCUGCCCCCAGGGAGGCUACGAGGCCUUUGAGUUGGAGGUGGGAGGACAGCGGGGCUCCCAGGACAGAUCUUCAUGUGGGGAGGCUGUGUCUGUGUUGGGGCUCAGGCCGGCUCAGUCCUACCCAGCCACCAUCACGACCAUCUGGGACGGAAUGAAGGUUGUGUCUCUCUCUGUGGUCUGCCACACCGAGAGUGCAGGAUUGCUGAGAAGCUGCAGCUUGGGGGCCUUCAAGGCUGAUGAAGACGGGCCAUAGGCUUAAGUCUACCCUAAGACCAGACAUCUAACGACAGAUCUUGGGAGAACUGUGCCAUCAGAGCCUGAGAACACCCAUAGACACCACCAGAUCAGCCAGGCGUGCUGGCUCACGCCUGUAAUCCCAGCACUUUGGGAGGCCGAGGUGGGCGGAUCACCUGCGGUUGGGAGUUCAAGACCAGCUUGACCAACAUGGAGAAACCCUGUCUCUACUAAAAAUACAAAAAAUU
Molecule: small RNA, 2564 nt
Filed under: Pongo abelii (Sumatran orangutan)
Lineage: Eukaryota; Metazoa; Chordata; Mammalia; Primates; Hominidae
Description: processed transcript
Source: RNAcentral